GAUGAACGCUGGCGGCGUGCCUAAUACAUGCAAGUCGAGCGAACAGACGAGGAGCUUGCUCCUCUGACGUUAGCGGCGGACGGGUGAGUAACACGUGGAUAACCUUCCUAUAAGACUGGGAUAACUUCGGGAACCAGAACUAAUACCGGGUAAUAAAUUUAACCGCAUGGUUCAAUAAUUAAAUACGGUUUUGCUUGAACUUAUAGAUUGAUCCGCGCCGCAUUAGCUAGUUGGUAAGGUAACGGCUUACCAAGGCAACGAUGCGUAGCCGACCUGAGAGGGUGAUCGGCCACACUGGAACUGAGACACGGUCCAGACUCCUACGGGAGGCAGCAGUAGGGAAUCUUCCGCAAUGGGCGAAAGCUUGACGGAGCAACGCCGCGUGAGUGAUGAAGGUCUUCGGAUCGUAAAACUCUGUUAUUAGGGAAGAACAAAUGUGUAAGUAACUAUGCACGUCUUGACGGUACCUAAUCAGAAAGCCACGGCUAACUACGUG
RNAcentral lists this ribosomal RNA (496 nucleotides) under uncultured bacterium. RNAcentral describes it as "partial 16S ribosomal RNA". It matches the Rfam family "Bacterial small subunit ribosomal RNA", at positions 28 to 507 of the family's 1533-position model. The record is from RNAcentral.